Molecule: transfer RNA, 66 nt
Filed under: Elliptio icterina
Lineage: Eukaryota; Metazoa; Mollusca; Bivalvia; Unionida; Unionidae
Description: tRNA-Ala
Source: RNAcentral
AGUUCUAUACUUUAAACUUAAAAGAUUUGAUUUGCAAUCAAACAUUGAACAACACUCUAGAACUAC